AUCCCUGUUGCACAAUGGAUAGCGCUUUGGACAUCUAAUUCAAAGGUCGUGUGUUCGAAUCCUACCUGGGAGU
Molecule: non-coding RNA, 73 nt
Organism: Trichonephila inaurata madagascariensis
Lineage: Eukaryota; Metazoa; Arthropoda; Arachnida; Araneae; Nephilidae
Source: the annotation of a GenBank genome assembly